CCUACGGGGGGCAGCAGUCGAGAAUCAUUCACAAUGGGGGAAACCCUGAUGGUGCGACGCCGCGUGGGGGAAUGAAGGUCUUCGGAUUGUAAACCCCUGUCAUGUGGGAGCAAAUUAAAAAGAUAGUACCACAAGAGGAAGAGACGGCUAACUCUGUGCCAGCAGCCGCGGUAAUACAGAGGUCUCAAGCGUUGUUCGGAAUCACUGGGCGUAAAGCGUGCGUAGGCUGUUUCGUAAGUCGUGUGUGAAAGGCGCGGGCUCAACCCGCGGACGGCACAUGAUACUGCGAGACUAGAGUAAGGGAGGGGGAACCGGAAUUCUCGGGGUAGCAGUGAAAUGCGUAGAUAUCGAGAGGAACACUCGUGGCGAAGGCGGGUUCCUGGACAUUAACUGACGCUGAGGCACGAAGGCCAGGGGAGCGAAAGGGAUUAGAUACCCUAGUAGUC
RNAcentral lists this ribosomal RNA (446 nucleotides) under uncultured bacterium. RNAcentral describes it as "partial 16S ribosomal RNA". It matches the Rfam family "Bacterial small subunit ribosomal RNA", at positions 338 to 795 of the family's 1533-position model. The record is from RNAcentral.